GAGUCUCGAUUCGAUCAUUUCGAUGAUUCGACGACGUUUGGCCAUAUUGUCCGCCGGUUGCAGCCAGCUGGUGAAUGGUGUGGUGAGCCGUGAGCUGCUUUCAUGCAGUCUGUGAUGUUGUAUUAUCCUGGAAUGUGAAAUGAAAAGUGUUGGUUGUUGUAGACUUGUAACACUACUGUGCUUGUUUGUCAUUUGUUGUGACAUUCACAGAGAUAAAUACUUCAGAUCAAAAAACCUGGUGAAAUCUGAGCUUCUUCAUUGCAGUCCAAUGUGCACAUGAAUUUGGUGCAGCCAGCUGGUGAAGGUGUUCCUCUUGCAGGCUUGCUACCUGUACUGGUUAUAGCUUUCGCUCACAUGCAGAAAAACUUCAGAACAAACUAAAAUAAUUAAGUCCAAUGUGCACAUGAAUUUAUUGGUGCAGCCAGCUGGUGAAUGGUGUGUUGACCUUGUUGAUCUCCCUGGUCGAGUCAGUCGAGCAGUGUCUCCCCCUGCUUGACUGGCUGCGUCUUGGACCGGACGGUCUAUUUAAUAAAUUAAUUUAUAUAAAUUAGUUUCUUAAUUUUGUUGAUUAUAUGUGUUUAUAUAAUGAAUAAUAAAUUUUUAAAUGAUA
Long non-coding RNA from Daphnia pulicaria, 610 nucleotides. RefSeq lists it as uncharacterized. The record is from RefSeq and is a predicted model, not a curated record. NCBI's taxonomy places the organism in Eukaryota, Metazoa, Arthropoda, Branchiopoda, Diplostraca, Daphniidae. The transcript has 3 exons.